RNAcentral lists this ribosomal RNA (507 nucleotides) under uncultured bacterium. RNAcentral's name for it is "partial 16S ribosomal RNA". It matches the Rfam family "Bacterial small subunit ribosomal RNA", at positions 28 to 507 of the family's 1533-position model. The record is from RNAcentral.
GACGAACGCUGGCGGCGUGCCUAAUACAUGCAAGUCGAACGCAUUUUCUUUUACCGUAGCUUGCUACACCGAAAGAAAUUGCGUGGCGAACGGGUGAGUAACACGUGGGUAACCUGCCCAUCAGCGGGGGAUAACACUUGGAAACAGGUGCUAAUACCGCAUAAUUCCAUUUACCGCAUGGUAAAUGGAUGAAAGGCGCUUUUGCGUCACUGAUGGAUGGACCCGCGGUGCAUUAGCUAGUUGGUGGGGUAACGGCCUACCCAGGCGGCGAUGCGUAGCCGGCCCGCGAAGGUGAUGGGCCAGACUGGGACUGAGACACGGCCCGGACUCCUUGGGGAGGAGGCAGUAGGGAAACUUCGGCGAGGGGCGGAAGUGGGGCCGAGCGACGCCGGGGGGUUGAAGAAGGGUUGCGGAUCGGAGAGCGCGGUUGUGAGAGAAGAAAAAGGAUGAGAGUGGAGAGGUGAAGAAUUGACGGGAACUUGAGAGAAAGCCCCGGCUAAAUUCGUG